UGACGCGAAGGCCUGCCGCAAGAAGGAAGGGGGAGACCGACGCGAAGAGGAGAGGAGAAAAAAGAUCUCAAUUGAUCGCCUCCGCCGCUACACAUCCACGCCGUCGAGAAGCACUUCGGCACCGCCGCGGCCGGUAGCGAAGACUUCGGCGGCCUCCUCUCCGCCGAUACCGACGACCUGAUUGCCCUCGAGUUCCCAACCUGUCCGCCCUAGAGAACCGGCGCCGCCACGGCCGGCAGUGACGACUUCGGCGGCCUCUUCUCCGCCGACACCGCCGACCAACUCGCCCUCGAGUUCCCCACCUGCAACCACUUCGAUGGGUUCCAGAAGGCGACCAAGGAGAUGGUGAGCAACAAGAAUGGGACGAACACGCUCUCCAUCUUCGACAAGGCGUCAUCGUCGCCGCCGACUCCCGGGCCAGCAUGGGCGGGUACACAUGGUUCGGUCUUGGUACUAUGUUGAUAAGCGAGGGUGCAAGGCUCAAGGGAAGCCGGUUCUCUAACUCUCUGUAUGCUUAUUGUAUGCUCAUGGUAUCUUGGAUGAGGGUUACAAAUUCAACGUGUCAGUUGAGGAAGCUGCUGAGUUAGCAUGGCGGGCGCGGGCUUUUAUCACGCAACCUUUCGUGAUGGAGCCAGUGGUUGUAUUCAUAUUGGUAUGCAUUCUAUUUCCUAGUAUCUAUCCUAAUAUUUGUUUUGUUCACUCGAUAAGCAUGAUACAUGCAUGCAUAUUUGUUAAACACCUUAUCAUUAUAUCUUCCUUUUGAAAUCGCAAACACAAUUGUUUAUUGAGUUGAAAUUAC
This is a long non-coding RNA of Triticum aestivum (bread wheat), 799 nucleotides long. RefSeq lists it as uncharacterized. NCBI's taxonomy places the organism in Eukaryota, Viridiplantae, Streptophyta, Magnoliopsida, Poales, Poaceae. The transcript is spliced from 4 exons. The record is from RefSeq and is a predicted model, not a curated record.